RNAcentral lists this ribosomal RNA (4047 nucleotides) under Triticum aestivum (bread wheat). RNAcentral's name for it is "partial small subunit ribosomal RNA". Lineage: Eukaryota; Viridiplantae; Streptophyta; Magnoliopsida; Poales; Poaceae. The record is from RNAcentral.
AUGGCGGAGCUCGCGUCGGGCGCCGUGAGCUCGCUGCUGGGCGUCAUCCGCAACGAGGCCCUGCUGCUGGGCCGCGUCCGGCAUGACGUGCAGUUCAUCCAGGAGGAGAUGGAGAGCAUGCAGAGCUUCCUGGCGCACCUGUCAAAGAAGGCGCCCGGCGGUGGCGACCAGGACGAGCAGAUGCGCACGUGGAUGAACCAGGUCCGGCUGCUCGCCCAGGACAGCAACAACUGCAUCGACAUGUACCUGUACCGCGGCAACCCCGAGCUCCAUCUCGCCAGGGGCGGCCUCCGGCGCUACGUCUUCUGGUUUCCCUGGUUUGUUCACAAGAUGGUGGCGCAGCGUCGCGCGGCCGUCCAGCUGGGUGUCCUCAGGGAAAGGGCGCAUGACAUUGGCGAGCGGCGAACCAGGUAUGGUGUUGAGGUCCCGGCAAAGGAGGCGGCAGCGGCACUGUCGCCUACAGCGGAGGAGCAAGCGUCCGCAUCAUCCGCUAGUUCCGAUGAUGAAAAAGAAAAGAGCAACGAUCAACUCAUGCUAGCAGUGGCAACGACUAACCAUUCUGGUGUAAGAGGGGCAUUUUACCAGCCUCGUACGCCGGAGGAGAACACUAGGGUGAAGCUAGCCGAAUGGAUAGAGGAUGUCGCACAAUGCGGCACUGCUAUGGGGGAGCCCAUACCAUCGGUCGCCGUUGUGGCACAGGAUAAAGAGGAAACCCUGGCUAUUGCGAACGAAGCUUCGGCAAUGUGGGAAAAACGUUGUCCCCACUGGCGCAGUGUCAUGGUCGACAUCCCAGCAGUGCACAUCCAGUCCCGAACCCUUCGAACUCGGGACAUUCUGUACUACAUCCUGCGGAAGCUUCAGUCUGUCGAACCCCAGCCCCAGCAACAGGAAGGUCAAGUCGGUGAAGAGGAGGCUGAAAAAAUAAGAUUUGUUAUUCGCUUAGAAAAAUGGAAGCUGCUCGAUGAAGUCACAGAACAAAUCCAAGCAAUGAAGGUGGACAACAAACUUUCUGAAAUCAAGAACACCAUGGAACAAAUGAAGGGCGGACAACUGCAGAUCAACCUACAACAAAUGGAUGAAGACCUGCUGGGUCUGCCAGAAUCUGUUAAAGAUCAACCCUUAUGGGUACUCCUUCGAGCGCUGUGGCAGCUCAAGCACAAGCCUAUUGAAGGUGAGCCUACUACCAAACAAGACCAAGAAUGGAAGGAAGACAGAUUCACGCACGAAUAUAUCAUCAAGAGAACAGCCGAGAAGCUUAAAGGGCAUAUGGAAGAAGAUGCAGACACAAAGGCAAUUCGUCUCAAAGAAGCCCAUUAUGAACAGAUCCUAAGGGAGGUGUUCCCCCCGGUGACCACCAAGAAGAACCCGCAGAUCCAGGAGCAAGCCACCGCCGUCAGCGCCACUAGCACCAUUAUAUUGGUCGAGGAUCAAAUCAAAGAAAUGAUCCGUAAGGUCCUUCAGGAGAAAUCCGUGCACAAACCAGGUGCUGAGCUACAGGAAGACAAAACCAUGAAGAAACCAGGUCCAGCUGAGCUGCAGGAAGACAAAUCCAUGAAGAAAAUAGAUACAACUGAUGGUAUACAAAGUCAGCAUUGUAUCCCCAAUGCUCUAAUUGAAGAAACCAUAGCAAAGAUUCAGGAAAUCGAGUGCACGAUGCAAGACCAGCUCCAGAUCAAAAGAAUCAUGGACAAAAUUGAAGAUUGUUUGACGGGACAAGAUGAAAAGAUCCUGGUUAUCCUCAAACUCGAUGCUGACUGGGUAUCCAGAUGGAAGGAGACCAAAAAUGCUUUCAGCAUGUUUGGUUGCAUAGCCGGUGCACUGAUGUUGACAUUCAAAGAUAAGAUAGCACGAGCCAAAGAAUAUUGUUGGCCACUGCGGGAGCCUAUAGACUAUAGUCUUCUUGGCUUCUACCAUGAUACUGCACUUGAGCUUACAAAAAACCACAUGCUUGAAGAUAACCCAAAGAUUUAUCUUGACAUCUUGGACAAGUGUAAGCACCAUGAAUUCUGCAUGAAGAUCUUCAUUCAUGCUUUGCACGCCAACCCCAAGAGGAGCAAUGAGGAGCUAAGCAAGUUGCACAAAGCCCUGCAGCCGGUACAUCAAGCUUCACACACAUCUGCACACAACUCAUUGGACAGCAAUAUCAUUGCUAAGAAGAUGUUCAUGUUCUCUUACAGUGACCUGCCUAAGGAAUACAGGUCCUGCUUGCUAUACCUAGCAAUUUUCCCUCGAAGACAACACAUCAGGCGGUCAACCUUGAUAGGACGGUGGGUUGUAGAGGGGUUGAUAACCAAGCAAGACUGGGCCAGCUCUGUGCGACAUGCCAAUCGAUGUUUUGAGGCGCUCAUUAACCGGUGGCUUCUUUAUCCUGCUGAUAUUGGUGCUACAGGACAGGUGAAGAGCUGUGUGAUAGGUGAUGUAGUUCAUGGAUUCAUAACCAAGAUCGCCAGGAAACAGCGCAUUGUAGAAACACGCCUGUCACAUUACUUGGCUCGCCACUUCUCCAUUUUCAACAAUCUCCGAAUCCGUCGCUCUGAUACAAUCAACAGAUUCUUUGAAAAGCUCUAUGAAGAAUCAUUUCGAGUAUCCAUUAUCAAGGUGCUAGAUCUAGAAGGUUGUAAAUGCUUUGGUGGUAAGAACCAGCGGUACCUCAAGGACAUCUGCAGGACGAUGUUACUGCUCAAGUAUCUGAGUCUAAGAAAAACAGAUGUUAAACAGCUGCCUAGUGAAAUCAACAACCUCCGUGAGCUGGAAGUAUUGGAUAUUCGGGACACCGAUGUGCCUGAGUCUGCAACAGUAAAUGUCCUACUCCUGAAGCUGAAGCAUUUGUUGGCUGGACACGUUGUGCUGAACUCAGUGCCUUGUGUUCCUGACAAGAUUGGAAAAAUGUUAAACAUGGAGGUAUUGUCCAAUGUCAAGGCACGAAAUCAUCAAGUUUUGAAAGAUAUUGGAAAGUUGUGGCAGCUGAGGAAGCUUGGUGUGGUUAUUGAAGACAAUGACAAACUCGUUAGGAAUUUGCUUCGAGCUAUCAGCGACCUGCAUGAGUGCCUCAAGUCUCUGUCAAUCACUCUUCCCAUGACUGACCAAGAUCCUUCCACCGAAGAUUUUCCAAUUGAUGUUCUCGAAUAUUAUAAACACCCUCCCAAGCUUCUUGAGAGCCUAAGCAUUACUGGAACCACAAAAAACAGGCAACUUCUUCAACUGCUGACCAAAGAUAAUGACUUCUUCCAACUUGCGAAGAUAACUCUAACUGGAACCCGACUGAAGCAGGAUAAUCUGAAGGUCCUCAACCAGCUUCCCAAUAUAGUUUGUCUCAGGCUCCGGGAAAAAGCAUACAUCGAUGACAAUCUCACCUUCAAGAAUGAAGAAUUCAAAAAUCUCAAGUGCUUUCUUGUUGAGGGCUCCAACAUGACUGACAUCUUGUUUGAAGGUGGAGCCCAUAAGCUGGAGAAGAUCAUUUUAUGCUCAACUGAUGGCAUACAAUCUCUUUCUGGGGUCGAAGCCCUUCCAGAACUGAAGGAAGUCAAGUUGAACAACAACAACAAUAAGCUUUCAUUGUUUGACAAGGCUGAGAAAGUUUCCAAGGUGACUCUCUGUAGUACCAAACUGAGUGAAGAUGACCUGAAAAUGUUCGCCAAGAUACGAUAUGUGCGCUGCCUAAUCCUGAAGGAGAAAGCUUGUGUUGAAAGCCAGAUUAAGUUCAACAAAGAUGAGUUCCCAAGUCUCAACCUUCUUAUUGUCGAUGGUUCUGCCAUCACCAACAUAGGGUUCGCCAAUGGAUCUGCUCCUAAGCUCGAGAAGAUCAUCUGGUCAUUCACAGAGGACAAGGUGCGGAGUCUCUCUGGCAUUGACAACCUACCAAAAUUGAAAGAGCUCGAGUUCAAUGGCGACUUGAUCCCUGGUGAGUUGAAAGAAGCAAUUAACAAACAUAAAAAUAAACCCAAUCUUAUACACAACAAACCAGAAAACCAAUACCAAGAAAUGGGAAACAUAAAAGAAAUGGGCAAGGCCGCAAGAUUCCCAUCCUGCUGGAAGAGCCAGGAUUGA